UACGUAGGGUGCAAGCGUUGUCCGGAAUUAUUGGGCGUAAAGAGCUCGUAGGCGGUCUGUCGCGUCUGCUGUGAAAACUCGGGGCUUAACCCCGGGCCUGCAGUGGGUACGGGCAGACUAGAGUGCGGUAGGGGAGACUGGAAUUCCUGGUGUAGCGGUGAAAUGCGCAGAUAUCAGGAGGAACACCGGUGGCGAAGGCGGGUCUCUGGGCCGUAACUGACGCUGAGGAGCGAAAGCGGUGGGUAGCAAACAGG
This 254-nucleotide ribosomal RNA is filed under the name uncultured bacterium. RNAcentral describes it as "partial 16S ribosomal RNA". It matches the Rfam family "Bacterial small subunit ribosomal RNA", at positions 524 to 776 of the family's 1533-position model. The record is from RNAcentral.